Non-coding RNA from Peromyscus maniculatus bairdii (prairie deer mouse), 374 nucleotides. The record is from RefSeq and is a predicted model, not a curated record. NCBI's taxonomy places the organism in Eukaryota, Metazoa, Chordata, Mammalia, Rodentia, Cricetidae.
UGCUUGAGGCUUCAGGAAACAAGAAGGGUAUCAGCAGACAAUUCACCUGCCUGCGUGGGAAGCAGCUUUGGCCUCCUCUCCAAGACAGCGUUGAUGUCCAUGGCAAUCCUCAGGACUUCCUCCUCACAGUGAGCUCACAGGGAUACUGGCACCUGAUUUAUCAAUCCCAAUUUGAGAGAGGGAUGAGCAUCCUUGGGUAAUAUAAGGACUCAAGGAGCUAUAUGGAAGAGGAGGCAGGAAGAUUCUAAGAGUCAGAAGGGACGGAUGACUUCAAGGAAUCAUUGUCUUCCAGACACAUCAGGACUGAUGCACAUAUGAACUCACAGAGACCAUGGCAACCUGCACAGGUGAAAGCCAGACAGGGUCCCAGUGCU